AUUGAACGCUGGCGGCAUGCCUAACACAUGCAAGUCGAACGGUAACGACGGGAGCUUGCUCCCGGGCGACGAGUGGCGGACGGGUGAGUAACACUUAGGAAUCUGCCCAGUAGUGGGGGACAACCAGGAGAAAUCCUGGCUAAUACCGCAUACGCACUACGGUGGAAAGUGGGGGACCUUCGGGCCUCACGCUAUUGGAUGAGCCUAAGUCGGAUUAGCUUGUUGGUGAGGUAAAGGCUCACCAAGGCGACGAUCCGUAGCUGGUCUGAGAGGACGAUCAGCCACACUGGGACUGAGACACGGCCCAGACUCCUACGGGAGGCAGCAGUGGGGAAUAUUGGACAAUGGGCGCAAGCCUGAUCCAGCAAUGCCGCGUGUGUGAAGAAGGCCUGCGGGUUGUAAAGCACUUUCAGUAGAGAAGAAAAGCCUCGGGUUAAUACCCCGGAGUCUUGACGUAACCUACAGAAGAAGCACCGGCUAACUCCGUG
Molecule: ribosomal RNA, 488 nt
Filed under: uncultured bacterium
Lineage: Bacteria
Description: bacterial SSU rRNA
Rfam family: Bacterial small subunit ribosomal RNA
Source: RNAcentral